ACAUGGUUCAUUGUGCUCAAUGUGGUAUUAAUUGGGAUGAAAAAGAUGGUAUUCUCCUUAUUGAAGUUGAUCGAGUUCUCAAGCCUGGAGGUUACUUUGUUUUAACCUCACCAAUAAGCAAGCCCCAUGGGAGUGCAUUGAACUCAAAGAGGAGAAACAGAGUGACACUGAUAGAAGAAUUAGCUGAAAAAAUAUGUUGGACUCUUCUAUCUCAACAGGAAGAGACUUUUGUCUGGCAGAAAACCGU
Molecule: unclassified non-coding RNA, 247 nt
Filed under: Hevea brasiliensis (rubber tree)
Lineage: Eukaryota; Viridiplantae; Streptophyta; Magnoliopsida; Malpighiales; Euphorbiaceae
Source: RNAcentral